UACGUAGGUCCCGAGCGUUGUCCGGAUUCAUUGGGCGUAAAGCGAGCGCAGGUGGUUUAUUAAGUCUGGUGUAAAAGGCAGUGGCUCAACCAUUGUAUGCAUUGGAAACUGGUAGACUUGAGUGCAGGAGAGGAGAGUGGAAUUCUAUGUGUAGCGGUGAAAUGCGUAGAUAUAUGGAGGAACACCGGUGGCGAAAGCGGCUCUCUGGCCUGUAACUGACACUGAGGCUCGAAAGCGUGGGGAGCAAACAGG
RNAcentral lists this ribosomal RNA (252 nucleotides) under uncultured bacterium. RNAcentral's name for it is "partial 16S ribosomal RNA". It matches the Rfam family "Bacterial small subunit ribosomal RNA", at positions 524 to 776 of the family's 1533-position model. The record is from RNAcentral.